CAUGCCGUAAACGAUGAGUGCUAAGUGUUAGGGGGUUUCCGCCCCUUAGUGCUGCAGCUAACGCAUUAAGCACUCCGCCUGGGGAGUACGACCGCAAGGUUGAAACUCAAAGGAAUUGACGGGGGCCCGCACAAGCGGUGGAUUAUGUGGUUUAAUUCGAAGCAACGCGAAGAACCUUACCAGGACUUGACAUCCUACUAACGAGGUAGAGAUACGUCAGGUGCCCUUCGGGGAAAGUAGAGACAGGUGG
Molecule: ribosomal RNA, 250 nt
Filed under: uncultured bacterium
Lineage: Bacteria
Description: partial 16S ribosomal RNA
Rfam family: Bacterial small subunit ribosomal RNA
Source: RNAcentral